CCCUAGCCCCGAUAGUAGUGGAAAUCCUUUUGUGCCGGGGUUCGGCACAAAAGAUUGGAACGGAUAGCGGGAAAAAGC
RNAcentral lists this small RNA (78 nucleotides) under Flavobacterium araucananum. Its description in RNAcentral is "Flavo-1 RNA". It matches the Rfam family "Flavo-1 RNA". The record is from RNAcentral. Lineage: Bacteria; Pseudomonadati; Bacteroidota; Flavobacteriia; Flavobacteriales; Flavobacteriaceae.